AGCUGUGCGCAGUGGCGGUACCAUAGCCAAUGAGGAAUUUCCGAGGCGUGGUUAUUGCUAGUCUA
This is a small nuclear RNA of Lottia gigantea (owl limpet), 65 nucleotides long. It matches the Rfam family "U4 spliceosomal RNA". From Rfam's summary of the family: U4 small nuclear RNA (U4 snRNA) is a component of the major U2-dependent spliceosome. The structure of U4 snRNA from yeast and human has been reported. The record is from Rfam. Lineage: Eukaryota; Metazoa; Mollusca; Gastropoda; Lottiidae.